RNAcentral lists this long non-coding RNA (316 nucleotides) under Lathyrus oleraceus (garden pea). RNAcentral describes it as "Pisum sativum (pea) long non-coding RNA (PSAT_LNC038456)". Lineage: Eukaryota; Viridiplantae; Streptophyta; Magnoliopsida; Fabales; Fabaceae. The record is from RNAcentral.
UUUAUUGUUGUUAUUAUUGUUAUUGUUAGUGUUGUUGUUGUUAUUGUUGUUGCUGCUGUUGUGGUUGCUGUUUUUGUUAUUGUUGUUGUUGUGGUGGUGGUUAUUUAUGUUAUUGUUAUGGUUAUUAUUGUUGUUGUUGCUUCUGUUGUUGUUGUGGUGGUUGUUAUUGUUAAUACUGUUGUUAUUGUUAUGAUUGUUGUUAUUGUUGUUGUUGUUGCUGUUGUGGUACAACAACAACACCAGGUUGUUAUUGUUAAUACUGUUGUUAUUGUUAUGAUUGUUGUUAUUGUUGUUGUUGUUGCUGUUGUGGUUGUUG